Molecule: ribosomal RNA, 253 nt
Filed under: uncultured bacterium
Lineage: Bacteria
Description: partial 16S ribosomal RNA
Rfam family: Bacterial small subunit ribosomal RNA
Source: RNAcentral
UACGUAGGGGGCAAGCGUUGUCCGGAAUCAUUGGGCGUAAAGCGCGUGUAGGCGGCUGAGUAAGUCUGCUCUGAAAGCCCGGGGCUCAACCCCGGGAGGCGGGUGGAUACUGCUCAGCUCGAGUCCGGAAGAGGAGUGUGGAAUUCCUGGUGUAGCGGUGAAAUGCGCAGAUAUCAGGAGGAACACCAAUGGCGAAGGCAGCUCGCUGGAACGGUACUGACGCUGAGGCGCGAAAGCGUGGGGAGCGAACAGG